CCUCCGGGAGGCAGCAGUGAGGAAUAUUGGUCAAUGGGCGGGAGCCUGAACCAGCCAAGCCGCGUGAGGGAAGCCGGUCCCGCGUCUCGUCCCCCUCUUUUUUCCUUGCCCCCCUGCGGGGCCUCGUCCCCGGCUCCGGGUACCUGCAGAAAACGCAUCGGCUCCCUCCGUGCCCGCCGCCGCGGUCCUCCGGCGGCUGCGCGCGUUCUCCGGCUUUCUUGGGUUUCCCGGGUGCGCCG
RNAcentral lists this ribosomal RNA (239 nucleotides) under uncultured bacterium. RNAcentral's name for it is "partial 16S ribosomal RNA". It matches the Rfam family "Bacterial small subunit ribosomal RNA", at positions 338 to 574 of the family's 1533-position model. The record is from RNAcentral.